GACGAACGCUGGCGGCGUGCCUAAUACAUGCAAGUUGAGCGAUGAAGAUUGGUGCUUGCACCAAUUUGAAGAGCAGCGAACGGGUGAGUAACGCGUGGGGAAUCUGCCUUUGAGCGGGGGACAACAUUUGGAAACGAAUGCUAAUACCGCAUAACAACUUUAAACAUAAGUUUUAAGUUUGAAAGAUGCAAUUGCAUCACUCAAAGAUGAUCCCGCGUUGUAUUAGCUAGUUGGUGAGGUAAAGGCUCACCAAGGCGAUGAUACAUAGCCGACCUGAGAGGGUGAUCGGCCACAUUGGGACUGAGACACGGCCCAAACUCCUACGGGAGGCAGCAGUAGGGAAUCUUCGGCAAUGGACGAAAGUCUGACCGAGCAACGCCGCGUGAGUGAAGAAGGUUUUCGGAUCGUAAAACUCUGUUGGUAGAGAAGAACGUUGGUGAGGGUGGAAAGCUCAUCAAGUGACGGUAACUACCCAGAAAGGGACGGCUAACUACGUG
RNAcentral lists this ribosomal RNA (497 nucleotides) under uncultured bacterium. RNAcentral describes it as "partial 16S ribosomal RNA". It matches the Rfam family "Bacterial small subunit ribosomal RNA", at positions 28 to 507 of the family's 1533-position model. The record is from RNAcentral.